AUGAACUGUUGCAACUGUAUGAUAGUAACUUCCCCAACCUACUUCAGUCUUAUCCAAAAACCCUAUAUCCUGCAAUCUACCACACUUUGGAUGGUUCUGUAGACUUAAUAUCCUGAAUAUGAAUGCCCUGCACCUACUACAGGUGCUACCAAUCUCAUUACCCAAAACCCUGCUCGCGAACAUCUUCAAAUCCUUCACCAAUUUUAUUUGGGCUCAUAAACAACCACGAUUGGCCUAC
Molecule: non-coding RNA, 238 nt
Organism: Pelobates cultripes (western spadefoot toad)
Lineage: Eukaryota; Metazoa; Chordata; Amphibia; Anura; Pelobatidae
Source: the annotation of a GenBank genome assembly